UACGUAGGUUGCGAGCGUUGUCCGGAAUCACCGGGCGUAAAGCGCACGCAGGCGGCCUCGAAAGCCCAUGGUGAAAGCCCUCGGCCCAACCGAGGGAUGCCCAUGGGAACUCCGGGGCUCAGAAGACGGGAGAGGCGGAUGGAAUUUCCGGUGUAGCGGUAAAAUGCGUAGAUACCGGAAGGAACACCAGUGGCGAAAGCGAUCCGCUGGCCCGCUCUUGACGCUCAGGUGCGAAAGCUAGGGUAGCGACCGGG
RNAcentral lists this unclassified non-coding RNA (254 nucleotides) under uncultured Chloroflexota bacterium. RNAcentral's name for it is "uncultured Chloroflexi bacterium contains 16S-23S intergenic spacer region". It matches the Rfam family "Bacterial small subunit ribosomal RNA", at positions 524 to 776 of the family's 1533-position model. The record is from RNAcentral. Lineage: Bacteria; Bacillati; Chloroflexota.